Molecule: ribosomal RNA, 433 nt
Filed under: uncultured bacterium
Lineage: Bacteria
Description: partial 16S ribosomal RNA
Rfam family: Bacterial small subunit ribosomal RNA
Source: RNAcentral
AACGAACGCUGGCGGCAUGCCUAACACAUGCAAGUCGAACGAAACCUUCGGGUCUAGUGGCGCACGGGUGCGUAACGCGUGGGAACCUGCCCUUAGGUUCGGAAUAACUCCCCGAAAUGGGUGCUAAUACCGGAUAAUGUCUUCGGACCAAAGAUUUAUCGCCUUUGGAUGGGCCCGCGUUGGAUUAGCUAGUUGGUAGGGUAAAAGCCUACCAAGGCGACGAUCCAUAGCUGGUCUGAGAGGAUGAUCAGCCACACUGGGACUGAGACACGGCCCAGACUCCUACGGGAGGGAGCAGUGGGGAAUAUUGGAGAAUGGGCGAAAGCCUGAUCAAGCAAUGCCGCGGGAGUGAUGAAGGCCGUAGGGUUGUAAAGCUCUUUUACCCGGGAUGAUAAUGACAGUACCGGGAGAAUAAGCACCGGCUAACUCCGUG